GAUGAACGCUGGCGGCGUGCCUAUACAUGCAAGUCGAGCGCACAGACGAGGAGCUUGCUCCUCUGACGUUAGCGGCGGACGGGUGAGUAACACGUGGAUAACCUACCUAUAAGACUGGGAUAACUUCGGGAAACCGGAGCUAAUACCGGAUAAUAUAUUGAACCGCAUGGUUCAAUAGUGAAAGACGGUUUUGCUGUCACUUAUAGAUGGAUCCGCGCCGCAUUAGCUAGUUGGUAAGGUAACGGCUUACCAAGGCAACGAUGCGUAGCCGACCUGAGAGGCUGAUAGGCGACACUGGAACUGAGACACGGUCCAGACUCCUACGGGAGGCAGCAGUAGGGAAUCUUCCGCAAUGGGCGAAAGCCUGACGGAGCAACGCCGCGUGAGUGAUGAAGGUCUUCGGAUCGUAAAACUCUGUUAUUAGGGAAGAACAAAUGUGUAAGGAACUAUGCCCGUAUUGACGGUACCUAAUCAGAAAGCCACGGCUAACUACGUG
RNAcentral lists this ribosomal RNA (496 nucleotides) under uncultured bacterium. RNAcentral describes it as "partial 16S ribosomal RNA". It matches the Rfam family "Bacterial small subunit ribosomal RNA", at positions 28 to 507 of the family's 1533-position model. The record is from RNAcentral.